Molecule: non-coding RNA, 2044 nt
Organism: Mobula hypostoma (lesser devil ray)
Lineage: Eukaryota; Metazoa; Chordata; Chondrichthyes; Myliobatiformes; Myliobatidae
Source: the annotation of a RefSeq genome assembly
AUGAUCUUGUUGGAUGAAGACAGAGGCAGGAGAGCCGUUUUCACUGGAGCACGAGCGGCAGAGCCCCAACGUCGUCCUGCUCCGAUCGCGGACCGAAAGAGAGCCACGGUGGUAUGCGUCAUCUCCGGCUUCUACCCCGACAACAUCAAGAUCCGGUGGUGGGUGGAAGGGCUGGAGGUCCGGGCCGAAAAUGCCGACAUCCAUACUGACCCCGAGGCGCUCAGCACGGACGGUAACAGGACGUUCAGCAUCACCAGCCGUCUACGCCUGGACGCCGAGGAAUGGAGAUCCAAGUCGGUCGAGUGCCGGGUGGAUCACUACCAGGAAGGGGAGGUGCCCAGGCCUUACAAAGCCGUGAUAUACGUCCAAGAUAUUCCCUGCGGGAUCAGUAAAGAGCAAAAGAUGCAGAGCAUUGAGACCGGACGACUGACGUACCUCAUCCUAAUCUGCAAAAGUAUCCUGUACGCCAUCAUCGUUUCGGUGCUCGCUUUGAAGUCCAAGACCUCAGACUCCAAGAGGUUCGACUGAAACCACGCUUGGCAUCGGAGCGAGAGAGAGAGAGAGAGAGAGAGAGAGAGAGAGCUUCGUCGAAAGAGAGAUUGACCUAGUUGCAUGGUCGGGUCAUCUUUUACGCCUGCCUCUACUGUAAACGUCUGUCUUAUAUUUCUGAGCUCAAAAUGUCCCGGCCCCCACUGGAGGGGAGGGCGACUGUAUAGUCCCGCAUCGCCGAUACAGGCCUUUCGGCCCGACAGAUCCCUGCCGACCAAAGUCUCCGCCCAUUCGGAAAUAUUGUCUUCAUCUCAGCUGGUCCCACAGCGAGAAUUUGAACUGGUUAGGACUUCAGACCCUGGAGCGCAGACUCAUGGGGAGUGGGGAACAUAUCACAGGGAUACUCAAAAUCACGAGUGGGAAUAGAUUAGGGUGAACGGAUCGCGCACAAAAAACGCGGGAGGAAGUCAGCAGGUCGGGCAGCAUCCGCAGAGGGGGAUGAACAGGCAGCCUUCCGGACGAGAGACCCUAUUUUACCAGGACUGGGAAGGGACGUGGGCACGUGGCCAGGUGGUUAAGGCGUCCGGCUAGUGAUCUGAAGGUCGCCAGUUCGAGCCCCAGCUGAGGCGGCGUGUUGUGUCCUUCAGCAAGGCACUUAACCACGCAUUUCUCUAUGUCUGUAUGAGGAGUGGCGGGCCACACAGUCAUGAAAGUGCCUCUUAGGCCUGAGUCGAGUCGAAGGGAAGGGGCAGAGGCCAGGAUAAGAAGAUGGUGAUAGAUGCGGGCAGGUGAUAGGUGAGACCAGGUGAGGCGGGGUAGGUGGGUGGACGCGGGUAAGGGGGACUGCAGAUGAUGGAAGAGGUAAAUGGUUGAAGAAGAACGAAGUCGGUCGGAGAGGAAGGGAGACCUUGGUGUAAAGGCGGUGGACCGUGGUAAAGGGAAAGAGGAGGGGCGGCAGAGGGAGGUAACAGGCAGCUCAUGAGGAUGGGCCCGAAUGCAAGACGGCCUCCUCCCCCUCAGCUGGGCUCGAGGUCAUGGGUUAAGGGCGAAAGUGGAAAUAGUUAAGGGGAACUUCUUCGCCCGGAGAGUCGCCCGAGCACAUAGCGAGCUCCCAGCUGAUGAGGAACUUGGAUGGAAACGUGGACUGGAGGGAUGUUGCGGGGGGAUGUGCGCAGAUGGAGCUAGCCUGCCUGGUCGGCAUGGACAAGAUGGGCCGAAAAGCCUGUUUAUGUGCUGUACUACCCUGUGAGUCUAUUUGCCCGCAUUUGGCCUGUACCUGUCGAGAUGUCUUCUAAGCGUUUCAAUUGACCCGCCUCUACUACCUCUUCGCUCAAUAUCCCCGCCGCCCUCUCUGUGGGAAAAAAAAACAUUGCCCCUGUAAAUAUUUACCCUCUCGUUUAACGCGAGCUUUAGACUCCCAGGUUCUGGGGACUGGAGGGGUGGUAGGGAAGACUGCAACCUUUUCGAAAUCACCUGCAAUUUCUUAUUUUCUGUGUUGCUUAAUAUUACAGUUCUGAAGAUGUUAGUUACUCGAUAAAUAAAACGGAAUUUUCUU